GACGAACGCUGGCGGCGUGCCUAAUACAUGCAAGUCGAGCGCAGGAAACUGACGGAACUCUUCGGAGGGAAGGCAGUGGAAUGGGCGGCGGACGGGUGAGUAACACGUAAGGAACCUGCCUCAAGGAUUGGGAUAACUCCGAGAAAUCGGAGCUAAUACCGGAUAGUUCAACGGACCGCAUGGUCCGUUGAUGAAAGGCGCUCCGGCGUCACCUUGAGAUGGCCUUGCGGUGCAUUAGCUAGUUGGUGGGGUAACGGCUCACCAAGGCGACGAUGCAUAGCCGACCUGAGAGGGGGAUCGGCCACACUGGGACUGAGACACGGCCCAGACUCCUACGGGAGGCAGCAGUAGGGAAUCUUCCACAAUGGACGAAAGUCUGAUGGGGCAACGCCGCGUGAGUAAUGAAGGUUCUCGGAUCGUAAAACUCUGUUGUAAGGGAAGAACACGUACGAGAGGGAAUGCUCGUACCUUGACGGUACCUUACGAGAAAGCCACGGCUAACUACGUGCCAGCCGCCGCGGUAA
This 524-nucleotide ribosomal RNA is filed under the name uncultured bacterium. Its description in RNAcentral is "partial 16S ribosomal RNA". It matches the Rfam family "Bacterial small subunit ribosomal RNA", at positions 28 to 523 of the family's 1533-position model. The record is from RNAcentral.